UGAUGAUGAUGAUGAUGAUGAUGAUGAUGAUGACCACCAUGAUGACCAUGAUAUUCGCGAUGAUGGUUAUGAUCAUGAGCAUCAUGACGAUGA
This 93-nucleotide microRNA precursor is filed under the name Guillardia theta CCMP2712. RNAcentral's name for it is "microRNA mir-598". Lineage: Eukaryota; Cryptophyceae; Pyrenomonadales; Geminigeraceae. The record is from RNAcentral.